AAACCCCAAAGCCGAGUGUAAAGGCCAUAAAACCCAUCUCCCACCGUCUUCGUUUGUUUCCGUAAACCCUUGUUCCUUUUCUCUGUCUGUCAACAGAACAGCCAAAUGCUCCUCUGCAACAUUCUCAUUUCUAGUUGAAGGCGUUCAAGAAACGAAAAGGUUUCUCUUCUUCUCUGUGUUGGGCCUUUGGAUUGGCCAUCCAUGAGGUUGGUGCAACUUUUGGGGAUGCCACUUCAGUAAUAUAUGAAACUCCUAUUUCAAACAUAUAAGAGGGUGAAUUACUCUGGGACUUUAGGGUUUAGAUGUGUACAAAAUGUGACUCUCAUUGCAGCUGCAGAAAAGCUCAACUAAACUCAAAGGAAAAUAAGAAUACUGAUGAUUUGCCAUCCUUACUUUUUCCAAGAGGUUCUUCCCAGCUGCCAGCAGUCAGUAUAAUGUCUGAAAGUAGUGCACCUAAUCUCGUAUAUAAAAGGAGGAAAUUUUGAAGAAACUUUGUCACCAUAUUUUCAGAAGAUCCAGAAAAGGAAGAGAGAAAGAAGAGAGAGAUCCUAACCAUAA
Prunus mume (Japanese apricot) is the source of this 558-nucleotide non-coding RNA. The record is from RefSeq and is a predicted model, not a curated record. Lineage: Eukaryota; Viridiplantae; Streptophyta; Magnoliopsida; Rosales; Rosaceae.